This 955-nucleotide ribosomal RNA is filed under the name Bacteroides stercoris. RNAcentral describes it as "bacterial SSU rRNA". It matches the Rfam family "Bacterial small subunit ribosomal RNA", at positions 65 to 1012 of the family's 1533-position model. The record is from RNAcentral. Lineage: Bacteria; Pseudomonadati; Bacteroidota; Bacteroidia; Bacteroidales; Bacteroidaceae.
AGGGGCAGCAUCAUCAAAGCUUGCUUUGAUGGAUGGCGACCGGCGCACGGGUGAGUAACACGUAUCCAACCUGCCGACAACACUGGGAUAGCCUUUCGAAAGAAAGAUUAAUACCGGAUGGCAUAGUUUUCCCGCAUGGGAUAAUUAUUAAAGAAUUUCGGUUGUCGAUGGGGAUGCGUUCCAUUAGGCAGUUGGCGGGGUAACGGCCCACCAAACCAACGAUGGAUAGGGGUUCUGAGAGGAAGGUCCCCCACAUUGGAACUGAGACACGGUCCAAACUCCUACGGGAGGCAGCAGUGAGGAAUAUUGGUCAAUGGACGAGAGUCUGAACCAGCCAAGUAGCGUGAAGGAUGACUGCCCUAUGGGUUGUAAACUUCUUUUAUACGGGAAUAAAGUGAGCCACGUGUGGCUUUUUGUAUGUACCGUAUGAAUAAGGAUCGGCUAACUCCGUGCCAGCAGCCGCGGUAAUACGGAGGAUCCGAGCGUUAUCCGGAUUUAUUGGGUUUAAAGGGAGCGUAGGCGGGUUGUUAAGUCAGUUGUGAAAGUUUGCGGCUCAACCGUAAAAUUGCAGUUGAUACUGGCGACCUUGAGUGCAACAGAGGUAGGCGGAAUUCGUGGUGUAGCGGUGAAAUGCUUAGAUAUCACGAAGAACUCCGAUUGCGAAGGCAGCUUACUGGAUUGUAACUGACGCUGAUGCUCGAAAGUGUGGGUAUCAAACAGGAUUAGAUACCCUGGUAGUCCACACAGUAAACGAUGAAUACUCGCUGUUGGCGAUAUACGGUCAGCGGCCAAGCGAAAGCAUUAAGUAUUCCACCUGGGGAGUACGCCGGCAACGGUGAAACUCAAAGGAAUUGACGGGGGCCCGCACAAGCGGAGGAACAUGUGGUUUAAUUCGAUGAUACGCGAGGAACCUUACCCGGGCUUAAAUUGCAACUGACGGAAUCGGAAACGGUUC